GCCUUCGGGGAGCCGCGGGCACGCGGUCGGGGCCCUUCGGCGCCGGCCUUGGCGCUUCGGAGCGGCUGUAAUCGCCCGGCCUGCAAUCCGUGCCAGGUGGCAGCCGAGCCCCGUCGGUCCCGUAGGGAAACCGAAUCGCGAUCCGGGGGCCGGGAGAAGUUCCCGCUGGCCAGAGGCAGCGCCUCUUCCCACCCGAGGGGGACUUUGGCAAAGGGCGGCCCGAGUUUCUCACCCUAUCAAGGCAGCCGCGGCCUUUGCGCUGCCUUGGCGCAGCCAGCUCUCUCCUUCCCGGGCCUGUGGGCGACCGGCGCGGGCCUCGGUGCCCGCGGGAGGGGCGUUGCGAUUCAGACCCCCGCUAAGGCGCCCCUGUCGGGCAGCGGCGGCGCUCUUUGAACCUCUUCCGAAAUCCGGCCCAGCCCGGGAGCUCGGCGGCAGCAGGAGCAGCCCUGGGUUCAGGCGGCACCUGGGGCCGGGGCUGUCCUCCCGCCAACGGCUCGCUUUGUCCUCCUCCGACCUGGGAAGGCCCGCUGCUCAGGCGUCGCUUCCCCGGGGAGCGUUUAGGAGGGAGCGGUGCAAGGGACUCAACGAGGCCGCGGCCGCGCAGGGGCGAAGUGGGCGCCCAGAGGCAGCGAAGGCCCUCGUAGCCGCCUCUUUGGUGGAGCCCCGCAAUCCCUGCUCCGGCGGGGAAGGACGGCCCUCGGGAGUGACAGGGAGCGGCGCCCCGCAAGGGAGCGAUCUGGACCCGCCGUGCAGGCCCGUCCAGAUGCUCCUCGCGGCGGAGAAUGGCCUGGCUCUUCCCGGCCUCGCUGCGCUGCCUCGGAAGAUGCAUUUUGAGCGUGAGGAAGACUCCAAGUUCAAAUGGGCGCUGAGGAAUUACAGCCGCUUCAUUCGAUCCGCCGGAUUCCGACCUCCGCCAGGCGGGAAAAGGGACUCCCAGCGAGUGCGGAGCGGUCCUUGAGGGGCGCGGGGAAAGACUUGAGGUUCAAGGAAGCCUUUUUCCCCGAACAGAGGCUCCUUUUAUUUUUCCGGUCGCUGGAGGGAAUGCCGGCGGACCCCGGGGUGGCUCCCAUCCAUCCCAGCGGAAACCGGCGCCGAUCCGUUCAGAGAAGGGGGCCUGAACCCCGCCAGGAAAUCUGGCGGACGUCUCGUCCCUUCCCCUCCCUCCCUCCCUCCCUCCCUUCCGAGAGGGGACCCUCUUGGUUGGUUGGGACCCUCCGCAGGCGCAACCCAGGAGAAGAGUGGCCCUCCCGGCCCAGCAGAGGAAGGCCGGCCCGGUUGUCAUCGGGGAACCACGGGCGGCGCCGGGCCUGCAUUCCACCCGCAGCUGGGCUGUUUCGGAAGAGAGUAAAGUGGUCGCAGAGAAAUGUAGCGCUGCGACCUUCGCUCCCGCGGGCAAAGGGGGACCUGCGAAACGGGCCGGGAAGCCUCUCCGGGCGCGUCCGGCUCCCUCUUCGCGGCCUACCGGGGGAAGUGGCUGCGAGCACAGCCUGGCACCAGCCCGCCUUCGCGCCCGACCUCCGCUGCUCGCCUCGCUUCACCCAAGAGCCCCCCCCCCCAUCGCUGGAGCCAGGGUCCCUCGUGUUUGCCCGGGAAGCUGCUCGGCCGCGGCCUGGAAGGAGCGCGCCUUCGAGGCCUCUGUUCGUCGGCCAGGAGGGCAGAGCAGGGGAGCCCUCUUCGCCGCGUCCCGGGGAAGGGGCAGAGGCGGCGCGAGGAGCCCCAACAGGGCAGCCGGGGGAGCGCUGGCCGGCCGAAGGGAUGCCGGGCGUGGACUGAGGGAGGCUCUGCCUUCCUGCCACCCUCGGGGGCCGUUGGGCUCCGCUCCUUCUCUUCCCCUUUCCGUCAACGUGAGCUGUGCCCACCCGGUUCCCUUGCCCGGUGUGCGCGACCCUCCCCACCAGCUCUCCUGGAGGAAGCGCCUCCGGGCGGCGUGCCGCGCCCCGGAGACCCUCCUGCGGGUUCGACCUCCCCUCCAGCAAGCCAGGCGCUCGGAACGGACUUGGAGGCCGCCUUCCCGGGCUCGGCCUCCACCGAGCGCGCCGCUUUCGAACCGAAGGAGCGACUCUCACUUGACCUGCUUGGGGGGUCCAGGCUGAAGGAGGCAGACCUCGCCGGCCCCGCCGAGUCCUCCCCAGCCAGGAGCCGCCCCGGGCAGAUCCAAGUGUCCCGCUGCCAGAAGGGCAGGAGACGAGCCUCCUGCAAGGCCCUGGCGGGCCAAGUGACCUUUAGACUGAGCGCCGGCCCCUCUCGGUUGCGUUAGGCAGGCGGAGAGAGCGACGCUCGCCCAGAAUUGCCAGCUCCGUCCGGACGUCGCUUCCGACCAGUGCCCGGGGGAGAGGGCGCGCUGGGAGCAAGGCCGGAGCGUUCAAAGGAAUUGGGAGCCCUUCCCCGGAGGCCCUUCUUUCCGAAUCGGGCUCUCAAAGCAGGAAAGGGCGCCUGGGCCGAAGGGCGCGUCUCAGCGCUGAGCCCGGCCAUUUCCCGGCCUUGGGGGGUCUUUAAGCCGAAGGCGCAACCAGCGAGACCCGAGCCAAACCGGAGGCAGGGCUUGUUGAACCAGCUCCCCCUCCCCACCCCUUGCGCGGGGGGGGGGCAUAAAGUCAACCACCCCCUUUCUUGGCUGGGGGUUGGCCCCACGCAAGACCGAGCCAUCUGCCAGGACAGUUCCUUGCCUUCCUUGAGGUGGGCCUGUGGGCGUCGAAUUGCUCAGCCCCGGAAAGGAGAACCCUUUAAACGGCUCCCUCUCUACCCGGGUCCCUGCUCCUCCCGCGCCCUAAAGAGAGGGAUGGGCUCUUCCUGGCCGCCAAAGGCAGCCGCAGCUCAGCCCCCGAGGCUCGGUGUCGACCCUUCCUUUCACACAAAUACAGAGAGAGAGAGAGAGACAGAAACACACACACACAAACACCGAGAACUGGGCUCCUCCUUUCCCUUCCCACAGCCUUUUCCGCGUGGAAAUGUUGGCUUCCUCCUGACUGCCACUUCCUUCACAACGUCCUGACAAGGCGGCGAGGUGUCCCAGGAGAACCUGCUCUUCCACGGGCCCUUCGCCCGGAAGCCGAAGCGGAUCCGCACCGCCUUCUCGCCCUCGCAGCUGCUGCGGCUGGAGCGCGCCUUCGAGAAGAAC
Crotalus tigris (Tiger rattlesnake) is the source of this 3118-nucleotide RNA transcript. It is a transcript of the gene named empty spiracles homeobox 1, with no coding region annotated. NCBI's taxonomy places the organism in Eukaryota, Metazoa, Chordata, Lepidosauria, Squamata, Viperidae. The record is from RefSeq and is a predicted model, not a curated record. The transcript is spliced from 2 exons.